AUACGUAGGUGACAAGCGUUAUCCGGAUUUACUGGGCGUAAAGGGCGUGUAGGCGGUCUUGCAAGUCAGAAGUGAAAUUCCUGAGCUCAACUCGGGCGCUGCUUCUGAAACUGCAGGACUUGAGUGCUGGAGGGGAUAGCGGAAUUCCUAGUGGAGCGGUAAAAUGCGCAGAUAUUAGGAAGAACACCGGUGGCGAAGGCGGCUAUCUGGAAAGUAACUGACGCUGAGGCGCGAAAGCGUGGGGAGCAAACAGGAUUAGAUGCCCUGGUAGUCCACGCCGUAAACGAUGAAUACUAGGUGUAGGGGGUAUCGACUCCCUCUGUGCCGCAGUUAACACAAUAAGUAUUCCGCCUGGGGAGUACGGCCGCAAGGUUGAAACUCAAAUGAAUUGACGGGG
Molecule: ribosomal RNA, 397 nt
Filed under: uncultured bacterium
Lineage: Bacteria
Description: partial 16S ribosomal RNA
Rfam family: Bacterial small subunit ribosomal RNA
Source: RNAcentral